UGGCGGCAGGCUCUACAUGUGUAUCGAGCGAGAAAGGUUUCGGACUGAUUACAGCGGCGGACGGGUGAGUAACGCGUAGGAAUCUACCCAGUAGUGGGGGACAACUUAGGGAAACUUAAGCUAAUACCGCAUACGCCCUGAGGGUGGAAAGCGGGGGAUCUUCGGACCUCGCGCUAUUGGAAGAGCCUGCGUUAGAUUAGCUAGUUGGUGGGGUAAAGGCUCACCAAGGCGACGAUCUAUAGCUGGUCUGAGAGGAUGAUCAGCCACACUGGGACUGAGACACGGCCCAGACUCCUACGGGAGGCAGCAGUGGGGAAUAUUGCGCAAUGGGCGAAAGCCUGAUCCAGCAAUGCCGCGUGAGUGAUGAAGGCCUUAGGGUUGUAAAGCUCUUUUACCCGGGAUGAUAAUGACAGUACCGGGAGAAUAAGCUCCGGCUAACUCCGU
This 444-nucleotide ribosomal RNA is filed under the name uncultured bacterium. Its description in RNAcentral is "bacterial SSU rRNA". It matches the Rfam family "Bacterial small subunit ribosomal RNA", at positions 37 to 506 of the family's 1533-position model. The record is from RNAcentral.